Molecule: transfer RNA, 67 nt
Filed under: Marmota marmota marmota (Alpine marmot)
Lineage: Eukaryota; Metazoa; Chordata; Mammalia; Rodentia; Sciuridae
Also listed under: 1 other name
Rfam family: tRNA
About the family: Transfer RNA (tRNA) molecules are approximately 80 nucleotides in length. Their secondary structure includes four short double-helical elements and three loops (D, anti-codon, and T loops).
Source: Rfam by way of RNAcentral
GGUUGUGGCUCAGUGGUAGAGCACUUGCCUAGCACGUGUGAGGCACUGAGUUCAAUCCUCAGCACCA